UCGUGCUAAACGGGGAGCUAGCGGUGCCCUGUACCCGCAAUCCGCUAUAGCGGGGUUGAAUGCCCUUUUGCGGCCUGUGAUUUCUUGGGACUGCUUCGGUCAAGCGGCGUUGAAGGCUGGGUCCUGCGCGGCAGAAACCUCCGAACCCCGCCAGGUCCGGGAGGAAGCAACGGUAAGGAGUGCUUUCUGGGUGACGCAGGGUCGCCUGGCUGGAGUUGGCUGACCGGGCAAGCCGGGGGAUGCAGGUCAAGGAAGGGUGCACGA
Molecule: signal recognition particle RNA, 264 nt
Filed under: Anaerolineae bacterium
Lineage: Bacteria; Bacillati; Chloroflexota; Anaerolineae
Description: signal recognition particle sRNA large type
Rfam family: Bacterial large signal recognition particle RNA
About the family: The signal recognition particle (SRP) is a universally conserved ribonucleoprotein involved in the co-translational targeting of proteins to membranes.
Source: RNAcentral